AAACCCAGUGUGACUCGUCACACUAUCAUUAACUGAAUCCAUAGGUUAAUGAGGCGAACCGGGGGAACUGAAACAUCUAAGUACCCCGAGGAAAAGAAAUCAACCGAGAUUCCCCCAGUAGCGGCGAGCGAACGGGGAGGAGCCCAGAGCCUGAAUCAGCAUGUGUGUUAGUGGAAGCGUCUGGAAAGGCGCGCGAUACAGGGUGACAGCCCCGUACACAAAAGCGCAUGUGCUGUGAGCUCGAUGAGUAGGGCGGGACACGUGGUAUCCUGUCUGAAUAUGGGGGGACCAUCCUCCAAGGCUAAAUACUCCUGACUGACCGAUAGUGAACCAGUACCGUGAGGGAAAGGCGAAAAGAACCCCGGCGAGGGGAGUGAAAAAGAACCUGAAACCGUGUACGUACAAGCAGUGGGAGCACCCUUUG
Molecule: ribosomal RNA, 424 nt
Filed under: Salmonella enterica subsp. enterica serovar Enteritidis
Lineage: Bacteria; Pseudomonadati; Pseudomonadota; Gammaproteobacteria; Enterobacterales; Enterobacteriaceae
Description: partial 23S ribosomal RNA
Rfam family: Bacterial large subunit ribosomal RNA
Source: RNAcentral